This 1287-nucleotide ribosomal RNA is filed under the name invertebrate metagenome. RNAcentral describes it as "SSU rRNA". It matches the Rfam family "Eukaryotic small subunit ribosomal RNA", at positions 13 to 1220 of the family's 1831-position model. The record is from RNAcentral.
CCUGCCAGUAGUUAUAUGCUUGUCUCAAAGAUUAAGCCAUGCAUGUCUAAGUACACACGAAUUAAAAGUGAAACCGCAAAAGGCUCAUUAUAUCAGUUAUGGUUCCUUAGAUCGUUAACAGUUACUUGGAUAACUGUGGUAAUUCUAGAGCUAAUACAUGCAAUUAAAACAUGAACCUUAUGGGACAUGUGCUUUUAUUAGGCUAAAACCAAGCGAUCGCAAGAUCGUUAUAUUGGUUGAACUCUAGAUAACAUGCAGAUCGUAUGGUCUUGUACCGACGACAGAUCUUUCAAAUGUCUGCCCUAUCAACUUUUGAUGGUAGUAUCUAGGACUACCAUGGUUGCAACGGGUAACGGGGAAUCAGGGUUCGAUUCCGGAGAGGGAGCCUGAGAAACGGCUACCACAUCUAAGGAAGGCAGCAGGCGCGUAAAUUACCCACUCCCAGCUCGGGGAGGUAGUGACGAAAAAUAACAAUACAGGACUCAUAUCCGAGGCCCUGUAAUUGGAAUGAGUACACUUUAAAUCCUUUAACAAGGACCAAUUGGAGGGCAAGUCUGGUGCCAGCAGCCGCGGUAAUUCCAGCUCCAAUAGCGUAUAUUAAAGUUGUUGCGGUUAAAACGUUCGUAGUUGAACUUGUGCUUCAUACGGGUAGUACAACUUACAAUUGUGGUUAGUACUAUACCUUUAUGUAUGUAAGCGUAUUACCGGUGGAGUUCUUAUAUGUGAUUAAAUACUUGUAUCUUUUCAUAUGUUCCUCCUAUUUAAAAACCUGCAUUAGUGCUCUUAAACGAGUGUUAUUGUGGGCCGGUACUAUUACUUUGAACAAAUUAGAGUGCUUAAAGCAGGCUUCAAAUGCCUGAAUAUUCUGUGCAUGGGAUAAUGAAAUAAGACCUCUGUUCUGCUUUCAUUGGUUUUCAGAUCAAGAGGUAAUGAUUAAUAGAAGCAGUUUGGGGGCAUUAGUAUUACGACGCGAGAGGUGAAAUUCUUGGACCGUCGUAAGACUAACUUAAGCGAAAGCAUUUGCCAAAGAUGUUUUCAUUAAUCAAGAACGAAAGUUAGAGGUUCGAAGGCGAUCAGAUACCGCCCUAGUUCUAACCAUAAACGAUGCCAGCUAGCAAUUGGGUGUAGCUACUUUUAUGGCUCUCUCAGUCGCUUCCCGGGAAACCAAAGCUUUUGGGCUCCGGGGGAAGUAUGGUUGCAAAGCUGAAACUUAAAGGAAUUGACGGAAGGGCACCACCAGGAGUGGAGCCUGCGGCUUAAUUUGACUCAACACGGGAAAACUUACCA